RNAcentral lists this long non-coding RNA (552 nucleotides) under Homo sapiens (human). RNAcentral describes it as "HSALNT0301637". Lineage: Eukaryota; Metazoa; Chordata; Mammalia; Primates; Hominidae. The record is from RNAcentral.
GGACAAAUAAGGGAAUAAAACUGGCCACCCCAGCCGGCAGUGGCAACCCACUUGGGUGCCGUGAAAGCUUUGUUCUUUCGGUCUUCACAGUAGAUCUUGCUGCUGCUCACUUUUUGGGUCUGUGCCAUCUUUAAGAGUUGUAACACUCACCUCAAAGGUCUGCAGCUCCAUUCUUGAAGUCAAGGAGACCACGAACCCCCCAGAAGGAACCAACUCUGGACACAAAAGGAAAGGAAUAGCAGUUAUGUCUCAGGGUUUUUUGAGGAUCAAACUGGAAAAUGCUGUCAACUAUAGUUAUUAGUAUACAAUUGGCCUGGCGAAAUGUGCAGAAUGCCUUAAAGCUUCUAUUCAUCUUUCAUCUGUUAAUUAGCUGUUACCCUGCCUGCAUGUAUUAUGAUCAGUGCUGUCAUCCUCUGUUUCACAAGGACAUGGAGUGAAUAGUGUUAGGGGCCCUAAGUGCUCAUAAGAGUGGAGCUCUAGCCUAUACUAUGUGAUGCGAUGGAGCAGCUGGUGAGAUGUGGUGAAAGUUUAAGCAGCAUUUUUCCAACACAG